CCUACGGGUGGCAGCAGUGGGGAAUAUUGCACAAUGGGCGAAACCCUGAUGCAGCGACGCCGCGUGAGUGAAGAAGUAUUUCGGUAUGUAAAGCUCUAUCAGCAGGGAAGAAAAUGACGGUACCUGAUUAAGAAGCCCCGGCUAACUACGUGCCAGCAGCCGCGGUAAUACGUCGGGGGCAAGCGUUAUCCGGAUUUAGUGGGGUUAAAGCGUGCGCAGGCGGCGAGUUAAGUCAGCGGUAAAAUGUCGGGGCUCAACCCCGACAAGCCGUUGAAACUGGCUUGCUAGAGUGGGCGAGAAGUAUGCGGAAUGCGUGGUGUAGCGGUGAAAUGCAUAGAGAUCACGCAGAACUCCGAUUGCGAAGGCAGCAUACCGGCGCCCAACUGACGCUCAGGCACGAAAGCGUGGGUAUCGAACAGGAUUAGAUACCCCAGUAGUC
Molecule: ribosomal RNA, 439 nt
Filed under: uncultured bacterium
Lineage: Bacteria
Description: partial 16S ribosomal RNA
Rfam family: Bacterial small subunit ribosomal RNA
Source: RNAcentral